RNAcentral lists this unclassified non-coding RNA (240 nucleotides) under soil metagenome. Its description in RNAcentral is "partial contains 5.8S ribosomal RNA, internal transcribed spacer 2, and large subunit ribosomal RNA". The record is from RNAcentral.
AACCUAGCACACCUGCGGUGUGUACCUGCGGAAGGAUCAUUACCGAGUUAGGGUCUCCCGCGGCCCGAUCUCCCAACCCUCUGUUUAAGUCUUACCAACUGUUGCUUCGGCGGGCCGGUCUCCCCAGACCGCCGGAGGGUGCAACCGCCCUCUGGAGAGCGUCCGCCGACGGCCCCAUCUUAAAACCCUUUGUACCCAAUCGUGACGCCUAAAUUGACCUUUUGUAUAAUUGCGAAAACA